Molecule: ribosomal RNA, 252 nt
Filed under: uncultured bacterium
Lineage: Bacteria
Description: partial 16S ribosomal RNA
Rfam family: Bacterial small subunit ribosomal RNA
Source: RNAcentral
UACGUAGGUCCCGAGCGUUGUCCGGAUUUAUUGGGCGUAAAGCGAGCGCAGGUGGUUUAUUAAGUCUGGUGUAAAAGGCAGUGGCUCAACCACUGUAUGCAUUGGAAACUAGUAGACUUGAGUGCAGGAGAGGAGAGUGGAAUUCCAUGUGUAGCGGUGAAAUGCGUAGAUAUAUGGAGGAACACCGGUGGCGAAAGCGGCUCUCUGGCCUGUAACUGACACUGAGGCUCGAAAGCGUGGGGAGCAAACAGG